RNAcentral lists this long non-coding RNA (2019 nucleotides) under Heterocephalus glaber (naked mole-rat). RNAcentral's name for it is "lncRNA (ENSHGLG00000036616.1)". The record is from RNAcentral. Lineage: Eukaryota; Metazoa; Chordata; Mammalia; Rodentia; Bathyergidae.
CCAGAUUCCUACCCAAGUGGGAACUAGCACAGUGUAGGAGUCUAUAGGAAAUACAUUCCUGUUUUCAUCCAGGGCCUUCAGCUUGAUACCUACUGUCUUCAUUUCCUGAUUCUGCUAUGGAACCAGGAAGUUGCGGCAAGAAAGCAACUUUUAUUUGGGGGCUCACAAUAAGCUGGGACCCUUCUGAGCACAGAGAUGUGACCAGGGCACCCCAGCAGGCUCAUGGAACUACUUUCCUCAGCUGGAAAUGCCUAUGAAGCUGCCGCCCAGUGCAGGGACUCUCCACAGCUCUCCCUCCGCACGGAAUGCAUUUGCCUCCUGGUUGGCCUCGUCCACUCCUGUUCACCCCUCAAACCUCAGCAGCUUCAGGGGAAGCCUUCCUCGACUUCCCUGAGAAAAAGCGAGGUGUCAUCGUCACCUUUCCCAUAUGACUCUCUGUGCCGAUUGACUGCUCACCCUGUGUCAGGCAUUGCCAGCCACAGUACUGGGAUAAUACUUUGCAUGAGGGGCUCAGUAGGUGUUGGCUGAGGAAUGUGUUCAUUACUAUCUCAGAGAUACCAUGUGAGGAAACUGAGGCCCAGAGCAGCAGGGUUUCUGGUGGAGCGGGCCUGGUCCUAGGAGCUGGCCUGUAGGAGUGCACUCUUGCCCAUUCUUCUGCGCCCCACAGGUCCCCUGCCAUGUGCUCUGGCAGCCUGUCCUCCUGCUCAUCUCUAGCGACUGUGAUACAUUUACAUUCAUUUGCAUGGUUAGCAGAUUAAUGAAUGUUUGUUGCUGCCCUGCUGCAGUCCCUGUAAGUGCCAGGACAACAGGAGUACCAAGGAAUCUGGCUAGGCGCCCCACCCAAAGGUGCUCGGCAGCCCAAGGUUGCCCGCUCCUCUAUCAUGCUUCCUGGCCCCGUGUGUCCUGGGAACCUCGGCAGAGACCCUAAUGGAGCCACCCCAGGCUCUUUGCUUCGUGGAGCCUCCUGGCUGUGUGCCUGGGGUUUAGCCCUCGGCCUCAUCUCCUGGUUUCUGCAUCAGAGCCUGCAGUGCUGAGGAAACGUCCAUGACUUGGCAGGAUGUGUUCCUCCGUCCACUCCCUUUGCUCCUUUGUCAUCCUUCUAUCAGGAAAGGAACCCAUUUCGCUCCCAGGACAGAGCCUGCUGCCCGUCCUCUGGUGUCGACCUGCACACACUCUGAGUGACCACUUUACCGGCUUGUGACCGUCAGGACCCUCCUCCAAGGUCCCUUCAGAUCACAGUGACGUGAAAAGCCUGUCUGGACUCUAGCAGUGAGGGACCCCCAGUCCUCCAGGGCACCUCAGCAGGCCACCAGGGCCCUCUAAGGCCAACUUGGCUGAGCUCCAGGUGACUCACACUGUUUUUGAGUGAGAAAAAUAACUUAAAAAUGGCUUCUGACCAAGUGGGGAAAGUGGACAAUGUGGGAGGACAAAGGGGAUGUUCGCCAGGCCCUAGGCUCCUUUGCCAGCUGCAAACUGAGGUGGGCUUAAGGCGCACAUGGCCCUCAAGAGGCCUUCUUCAAAGGGCUGUGGCACCCUGGGCUCAGACUCUGGCGGUGAGGCUGCUUCAGGUCGUGAGCCACGCAUAUGUUGCUGAUUUAAAACAGACCACCCAGGCCUCAGGGCCUCAGCACCUUCCUCUCCAAGUGGGCUUGUGAUAGGAGGAAUAGCCUUAAGGUUCCUGUGAGAGUAAAAUGAAAUGUGCUUCCCACUGUGCGAGGCACAUAGAAAAUGCCAAGUAUCUAGUAUCUGCUAGCAUCAUUCUUGUUUCUUAAAAGUAUUACUGUUAACAGUAGCUGUAAAAAGACUUUGGGCAAGAGAUAAAGUCCAGGAUGCACAGUUAGAGGCUGUGAUGAGUAAGUGCGAUGCCAUGUAAGGCAAGUACUUUAUGAAUUGCUAAUUAUGUCCAGAUAGCAUCGUUAGCACAAAUGUUGUAUAUGUUGUUUUGGCUUUGGAAAGAAUGACUGAGCCCAGUUUUGGGAUGUUGAGUGUAAGUUCUUUGUUGUUUUGUUUCUGAGGGAG